CGAGCGGUAACGGUGUAGCAAUACAUGCUGACGAGCGGCAGACGGGUGAGGAACACGUACGCAACUUUCCUCAGACCGGGGCACAACCUUGAGAAAUCAGGGCUAAUUCCCCAUAACAUUGCGAGAGGGCAUCUGAUUGCAAUUAAAGAUUCGUCGGUUUGAGAUGGGCGUGCGUUCGAUUAGCUAGUUGGUAGGGUAACGGCUUACCAAGGCAACGAUCGAUAGCUGGUGUGAGAGCACGACCAGCCACACGGGCACUGAGAUACGGGCCCGACUCCUACGGGAGGCAGCAGUAAGGAAUAUUGGUCAAUGGACGAAAGUCUGAACCAGCCAUGCCGCGUGAGGGAUGAAGGUCCUCUGGAUUGUAAACCUCUUUUAUCUAUGAAGAAAUGUCCUGUUUCUACCGGAUUUGACCGGAAUAGAUGAAUAAGCACCGGCUAAC
Molecule: ribosomal RNA, 442 nt
Filed under: uncultured bacterium
Lineage: Bacteria
Description: bacterial SSU rRNA
Rfam family: Bacterial small subunit ribosomal RNA
Source: RNAcentral